Molecule: ribosomal RNA, 429 nt
Filed under: uncultured bacterium
Lineage: Bacteria
Description: bacterial SSU rRNA
Rfam family: Bacterial small subunit ribosomal RNA
Source: RNAcentral
GGCGAACGAGGUGAGUAAUGCAUCGGAACAUGUCCAUGUCGUGGGGGAUAGCCCGGCGAAAGCCGGAUUAAUACCGCAUACGCCCGAGAGGGGAAAGUGGGGGACCGCAAGGCCUCACGCGAUUGGGUUGGCCGAUGUCCGAUUAGCUAGUUGGCGGGGUAAAGGCCCACCAAGGCGAUGAUCGGUAGCUGGUCUGAGAGGAUGAUCAGCCACACUGGGACUGAGACACGGCCCAAACUCAUACGGGAGGCAGCAGUGGGGAAUUUGGACAAUGGGGGAAACCCUGAUCCAGCCAUUCCGCGUGAGUGAAGAAGGCCUUCGGGUUGUAAAGCUCUUUUGUCCGGAACGAAACGGGUAGAUCUAAUAAGUCUGCCUACUGACGGUACCGGAAGAAUAAGCACCGGCUAACUACGUGCCCAGCAGCCGCGG